Molecule: non-coding RNA, 248 nt
Organism: Leptonychotes weddellii (Weddell seal)
Lineage: Eukaryota; Metazoa; Chordata; Mammalia; Carnivora; Phocidae
Source: RefSeq, a predicted model, not a curated record
GUCCUGGGAAGCUGCCCAGCUGGCUUGCCCAGCUAGCUCAGUGUCUGAGGACGCUAAGAGGGACUUUGCAGCUUAGAGAAGACUUGGGCUCUGCCGGAAAGGUCUUCCGACUGGCUGAAGUUCAACAGGGCUCAGUGGCGGCUCUGCAGGCCAAGGCAGGGUUCCUGGCUUUGGGUUGUGCUCAGGGCUCACAUUUCUCUCAUCCUGGGACCAAGACCAGAGGAGGAACAGGUGUUUUUCAGAGGCCC